RNAcentral lists this ribosomal RNA (564 nucleotides) under uncultured Pseudomonadota bacterium. RNAcentral's name for it is "bacterial SSU rRNA". It matches the Rfam family "Bacterial small subunit ribosomal RNA", at positions 162 to 719 of the family's 1533-position model. Lineage: Bacteria; Pseudomonadati; Pseudomonadota. The record is from RNAcentral.
GCUAAUACCGCAUACGACCUACGGGUGAGAGUGGGGGACCGCAAGGCCUCACGCGAUUAGAUGAGCCGAUGUCCGAUUAGCUAGUUGGCGGGGUAAUGGCCCACCAAGGCGACGAUCGGUAGCUGGUCUGAGAGGAUGAUCAGCCACACUGGAACUGAGACACGGUCCAGACUCCUACGGGAGGCAGCAGUGGGGAAUAUUGGACAAUGGGCGCAAAGCCUGAUCCCAACCCAUACCCGCGUGGUGAAGAAGCCCUUCGGUUUGUAAAGCCCUUUUGUUGGGAAAGAAAUCCUAUCGGUUAAUAACCGGUGGGGAUGACGGUACCCAAAGAAUAAGCACCGGCUAACUUCGUGCCAGCAGCCGCGGUAAUACGAAGGGUGCAAGCGUUACUCGGAAUUACUGGGCGUAAAGCGUGCGUAGGUGGUGGUUUAAGUCCGUUGUGAAAGCCCUGGGCUCAACCUGGGAAUUGCAGUGGAUACUGGAUCACUAGAGUGUGGUAGAGGGAUGCGGAAUUUCUGGUGUAGCAGUGAAAUGCGUAGAGAUCAGAAGGACAUCCGUGGCGAA